UACAACUAACUCCUUUAUCUAAUAAAACCAAUGAAACAGCCUCUAAUUUUAUGACUUAAGAUAUUGGGACACCUAACAGAUAACCUGUAGGCAUUUAAGAGCUAUGGUCUUCAAACCCCUCCCUUUAUUGAAAAAAUCCUUGAACACAAAAGUGUACAUUACAAUGAGAAUGAGAUACAUCUGGGAUCUGGAAAAAAAACUCAAACAAAAUCUGAAUCGUAAUUUUAGUAAGCAUAUUUAUUUAAUAAAGGGAUAUUAGAAGGGUUGAUCAAAACAGAAAAACAAAUCGGUAAAUCAAUAUUCACGUACUCCAAUCUCCACAACAGAAAGCAUACACUGACAUAGAUCGAAAAGACGACCAAUUGUUUCUUGGCAAUAAACGAAGGAGAAAGAGAGAGUGUUUGAUACCUCGAGGAACUGUUGGAGUUCCGGCGAGUUCAGAGAUGAAGAAUCCAUCGGAAUGAAUCGCUUGCUCCAUGCGUUUCCGCAAGAACCCGUGCUCGAGUUUGUUGGACUCUAAAUAGUAAAUAAUUAUAAUAAUAAUUUAACAUCUGGUUGGACCCG
Molecule: long non-coding RNA, 564 nt
Filed under: Zostera marina
Lineage: Eukaryota; Viridiplantae; Streptophyta; Magnoliopsida; Alismatales; Zosteraceae
Description: long non-coding RNA (ZMAR_LNC005300)
Source: RNAcentral